GGAGGGUGCGAACGUUGCUCGGAUUUACUGGGGCGUAAAGCGCGUGUAGGCGGACUCGCAAGUCGGUUGUGAAAUCCCUGGGGCUCAACCUAGGGAACUGCAUCCGAAACUGCUUGUCUUGAGUAAUGGAGAGGGUGGCGGAAUUCCCGGUGUAGAGGUGAAAUUCGUAGAUAUCGGGAGGAACAUCAGUGGCGAAGGCGGCCACCUGGACAUUUACUGACGCUGAGACGCGAAAGCGUGGGGAGCAAACAGGAUUAGAUACCCUGGUAGUCCACGCCGUAAACGAUGAGCAUUAGGUGCAGCGGAUAUUGACCUCUGCUGUGCCGUAGCUAACGCGUUAAAUGCUCCGCCUGGGGAGUACGGCCGCAAAGGCUAA
RNAcentral lists this ribosomal RNA (376 nucleotides) under uncultured organism. RNAcentral describes it as "partial 16S ribosomal RNA". It matches the Rfam family "Bacterial small subunit ribosomal RNA", at positions 527 to 897 of the family's 1533-position model. The record is from RNAcentral.